AGAAGAUCGAUUGCAGGACAGAAAAUGGCGACGAGUGCAAGGAGGGCUACAGCAUCAACACCUGCAGGGCCCUCCCUUCCCCCCCUCUAUUUACAUAAAAUGGUUCAGUCCGACUGGAUCAGCUGCAGGUAGAGCACGGCUAUUUGUCACAGACAGCGCCACAGCGGGCAGAGCGGAGGAGACAGCAGUAUGCCUCAAAAAUCAGGCAGCCAAAAAAGAAAGGAAAAGAAAAUAAGAGAGGAGAAGGAGUUGAAGGGUCGACAAUAUGUCACUCAAUAUUUCCAAAAAAAAAGAGUCAAGUGCACCAGCAGCAGCAGCAGCUGUCUGUCAGCCCCCAACUCCCCCUGC
This is a long non-coding RNA of Entelurus aequoreus (snake pipefish), 348 nucleotides long. RefSeq lists it as uncharacterized. NCBI's taxonomy places the organism in Eukaryota, Metazoa, Chordata, Actinopteri, Syngnathiformes, Syngnathidae. The record is from RefSeq and is a predicted model, not a curated record. The transcript has 3 exons.